Molecule: long non-coding RNA, 1481 nt
Filed under: Canis lupus familiaris (dog)
Lineage: Eukaryota; Metazoa; Chordata; Mammalia; Carnivora; Canidae
Description: lncRNA (ENSCAFG00000052129.1, ENSCAFG00805025190.1, ENSCAFG00845020242.1)
Source: RNAcentral
ACAAUGAGAAGCUAGUGUCACUGUUCUAGAAGCCCUAGGGAAAAAAGCCAAACACCAUUAUCUGGAUUGGUAGGCACUGCAGAAAAUAUAUUGACAAAGUUUUGAGAUAUAUAAGUGAAAAAUGGUGAAAAAGACUUGACUAAUGUUUUCUUGGUCCUUCCAACAACAACAAAACUGAUUCCGUGGCACAUUUUUGAAAGGGAGCAUAUGGCACCAUUUGUGCUUAUCAUCAUGCCCAGCAUAUGGCAAGUAGUCAAGAAAUCUCUCAUUGGUUAAUUGAUUGAUUCAUUCAGCACGACUCGAUAGGCAAACAUUUGUUGAAUUAAUGAUUGAAUAAACAAAAGAGCCUUCCUUUCCAGGCUUAACAGCCCUACUUCUCUCAAAUCUUGUAACUUUGACCUGAUGUUUUGCACAUCCCCCCGGUGCUGCUGACUCUGCCCUGGACAGCCUUCAGUUUCUUAAUGUCCCUCAUGAUUCAACUCCCAGAGCCAUACAUCAUACUCUGUCUUUAAUUGAGUGACCCACCAGGAUCAGGCAUGGCCAUAAGCAUCGGCUGACACCGAAAACAAAACUCCUGCUGUUCUGGAAGGCCAGGCAUCAGAGAUAUCAUAGCUUAAGGUUUGUUUGUUUGUUUGUUUGUUUUUCUAAAUGCAUCCAAAUGGGGCUGUGAAAAACUAGGGGUAGUUUGCACGUGUUAUAUGUUUGUUGCUUUAUAACCCCUUUGGCCCAAAGAGAUGUUAUAUUUAGUCCUGGGCAUGGCCUUUGGACUCCGAGCCUGUGCCAAGUACCAGGCUAGAAAGCUGUGAGCCAGGACACGAGCCAGCUUAUUUGAAGCACAUUACAUCAGACAUUUCCUGAGGUGGAAAGGAAGUCCUCCUUGCUAGAAAGCAGGGAGGAUUUUGGCUCUUAGAGGCUGGAUUCAGUAACUUUAACUCUUUGGCUAAGGGCCAAUCCUCUAGCAAGCAGCUAUCAUAUGGUCUGCAAAAAAUUCAGAUCCAAAGUCUCCAGCCCCCGUUUUAUGUGUUGACACCAUAGCCUUCUUUGAGAGAUGGAUUGCCUUUUGGAGCAGUGGGGAGUUGUGGGGGUUGGGGGGUGGGAGGGACAGCUUUUAGAAAAGGAGAGACGUUAGAAAAUCUGAUUAAAGAUUUUAUAAGAGAUUAAAAUAAUCUUACUAACUUGUCUCAAUUUGAGGGGUAAUGUUGACUUUGUAAGCAGAAAAUGAUAAGCCCUGAAUUAAAAUGCUGUCCAAAAAAGUGCUGUCAUCCAUCACUUUUUUUUUCCUUUUCAAGUUAAAUAAAAUCAUAUAAUGUGUAGUGAGGGAUAUAUUAGUGUUAAAUAUUACAUUUAUAAAUUAAGCCCUAAUGAUAGUUUCUCAAUUAACUUUAGAAAUUGACUUUGCAGUGAAGAAAUUUGAUCUCCACAACACUUGAAGUUAAAUAUUUUGUGACUCUAAAGUCUUCCCCUCUCUCCAUGAGCCACGU